Molecule: long non-coding RNA, 698 nt
Filed under: Ananas comosus (pineapple)
Lineage: Eukaryota; Viridiplantae; Streptophyta; Magnoliopsida; Poales; Bromeliaceae
Description: long non-coding RNA (ACOM_LNC018283)
Source: RNAcentral
GUUAAUUUCAUACAACUCUCUAUAAGUAUAUCGGAUAGCAAAUAUAUUUCUAUAAAGUUUAAUUUUUUAUAUUUAUCUCCACAAAAGCUCAGUAAUAUUUAUAUUUAUCCAUUUGGUUUCUCACCGUUAGAGUACUGUUUAUUUUUAGCAGAAGAUAAGUACAAUAAUAUUUUUGCCAUUAUAAAUAUGUCCCUCUAAAGAUCUCAACUGUAAAAAUUGUGCAAAAAUAUCCUCUCAAAAAUUUUCAAAUGUCAUCUUCUUCUUUUCUACGAUUCUAAAUAAUAUAAGAGAGAUAAAAAGAUCAACUUUCCUUAUUCACUAAACAGAGUUAAAUAUUUUAACUAUGGUUAACUAUAUAUUUUUAACAGAUAGCUUAAAAGCAGGGGUAUAUUUGAAAAGGUCAAAACGUUUGCAGAGAUAAAUAUGAAGAGUUGAAAUUCGUAGGAAUAUAUUUGCUAUUCGAUAUAUUUAGAGAGAGCUGUAUGCAAUUAACCCUAUUUUAUAUUAUUUUUAAUGCACUAAUCAUUGAUUCACCCACAUUGACAUCAAAUUUGAACAUAAAAAGAUUUGGAACCAAAUUCUUUCAAAACUUCUUAUCAUACUAAGCAAGAAUUUAAGUACCGUGGUACGGAAUCGUACCAAAAAUUUGUCGGUACAGCACAUGGUGCUGAAAAAUAGAGUCUAGAUCUUCUGAAAUU